RNAcentral lists this ribosomal RNA (1845 nucleotides) under Escherichia coli. RNAcentral describes it as "bacterial LSU rRNA". It matches the Rfam family "Bacterial large subunit ribosomal RNA", at positions 398 to 2228 of the family's 2925-position model. Lineage: Bacteria; Pseudomonadati; Pseudomonadota; Gammaproteobacteria; Enterobacterales; Enterobacteriaceae. The record is from RNAcentral.
UGUGAGCUCGAUGAGUAGGGCGGGACACGUGGUAUCCUGUCUGAAUAUGGGGGGACCAUCCUCCAAGGCUAAAUACUCCUGACUGACCGAUAGUGAACCAGUACCGUGAGGGAAAGGCGAAAAGAACCCCGGCGAGGGGAGUGAAAAAGAACCUGAAACCGUGUACGUACAAGCAGUGGGAGCACGCUUAGGCGUGUGACUGCGUACCUUUUGUAUAAUGGGUCAGCGACUUAUAUUCUGUAGCAAGGUUAACCGAAUAGGGGAGCCGAAGGGAAACCGAGUCUUAACUGGGCGUUAAGUUGCAGGGUAUAGACCCGAAACCCGGUGAUCUAGCCAUGGGCAGGUUGAAGGUUGGGUAACACUAACUGGAGGACCGAACCGACUAAUGUUGAAAAAUUAGCGGAUGACUUGUGGCUGGGGGUGAAAGGCCAAUCAAACCGGGAGAUAGCUGGUUCUCCCCGAAAGCUAUUUAGGUAGCGCCUCGUGAAUUCAUCUCCGGGGGUAGAGCACUGUUUCGGCAAGGGGGUCAUCCCGACUUACCAACCCGAUGCAAACUGCGAAUACCGGAGAAUGUUAUCACGGGAGACACACGGCGGGUGCUAACGUCCGUCGUGAAGAGGGAAACAACCCAGACCGCCAGCUAAGGUCCCAAAGUCAUGGUUAAGUGGGAAACGAUGUGGGAAGGCCCAGACAGCCAGGAUGUUGGCUUAGAAGCAGCCAUCAUUUAAAGAAAGCGUAAUAGCUCACUGGUCGAGUCGGCCUGCGCGGAAGAUGUAACGGGGCUAAACCAUGCACCGAAGCUGCGGCAGCGACGCUUAUGCGUUGUUGGGUAGGGGAGCGUUCUGUAAGCCUGUGAAGGUGUACUGUGAGGUAUGCUGGAGGUAUCAGAAGUGCGAAUGCUGACAUAAGUAACGAUAAAGCGGGUGAAAAGCCCGCUCGCCGGAAGACCAAGGGUUCCUGUCCAACGUUAAUCGGGGCAGGGUGAGUCGACCCCUAAGGCGAGGCCGAAAGGCGUAGUCGAUGGGAAACAGGUUAAUAUUCCUGUACUUGGUGUUACUGCGAAGGGGGGACGGAGAAGGCUAUGUUGGCCGGGCGACGGUUGUCCCGGUUUAAGCGUGUAGGCUGGUUUUCCAGGCAAAUCCGGAAAAUCAAGGCUGAGGCGUGAUGACGAGGCACUACGGUGCUGAAGCAACAAAUGCCCUGCUUCCAGGAAAAGCCUCUAAGCAUCAGGUAACAUCAAAUCGUACCCCAAACCGACACAGGUGGUCAGGUAGAGAAUACCAAGGCGCUUGAGAGAACUCGGGUGAAGGAACUAGGCAAAAUGGUGCCGUAACUUCGGGAGAAGGCACGCUGAUAUGUAGGUGAAGUCCCUCGCGGAUGGAGCUGAAAUCAGUCGAAGAUACCAGCUGGCUGCAACUGUUUAUUAAAAACACAGCACUGUGCAAACACGAAAGUGGACGUAUACGGUGUGACGCCUGCCCGGUGCCGGAAGGUUAAUUGAUGGGGUCAGCGCAAGCGAAGCUCUUGAUCGAAGCCCCGGUAAACGGCGGCCGUAACUAUAACGGUCCUAAGGUAGCGAAAUUCCUUGUCGGGUAAGUUCCGACCUGCACGAAUGGCGUAAUGAUGGCCAGGCUGUCUCCACCCGAGACUCAGUGAAAUUGAACUCGCUGUGAAGAUGCAGUGUACCCGCGGCAAGACGGAAAGACCCCGUGAACCUUUACUAUAGCUUGACACUGAACAUUGAGCCUUGAUGUGUAGGAUAGGUGGGAGGCUUUGAAGUGUGGACGCCAGUCUGCAUGGAGCCGACCUUGAAAUACCACCCUUUAAUGUUUGAUGUUCUAACGU